GUGGGCGUAGCUCAGUUGGUUAGAGCGCCGGGUUGUGGUCCCGGAGGUCGCCGGUUCAAAUCCGGUCGUCCACCC
RNAcentral lists this transfer RNA (75 nucleotides) under Gammaproteobacteria bacterium. Its description in RNAcentral is "tRNA-His". It matches the Rfam family "tRNA". Rfam says of the family: Transfer RNA (tRNA) molecules are approximately 80 nucleotides in length. Their secondary structure includes four short double-helical elements and three loops (D, anti-codon, and T loops). RNAcentral also lists the same sequence under 1 other name. The record is from RNAcentral. Lineage: Bacteria; Pseudomonadati; Pseudomonadota; Gammaproteobacteria.